This 114-nucleotide ribosomal RNA is filed under the name Pteropus alecto (black flying fox). The record is from RNAcentral. Lineage: Eukaryota; Metazoa; Chordata; Mammalia; Chiroptera; Pteropodidae.
GUCUACGGCUAUACUGAGUAAGCCUGGUCCCAUCUGAUCUCAGAAGCUAAGCAGGGUCGGGCCUGGUUAGUACUUGGAUGGGAGACCACCUAUGAAGACCAGGUGCUGUAGGCA